This 453-nucleotide ribosomal RNA is filed under the name uncultured Porphyromonadaceae bacterium. Its description in RNAcentral is "bacterial SSU rRNA". It matches the Rfam family "Bacterial small subunit ribosomal RNA", at positions 341 to 792 of the family's 1533-position model. Lineage: Bacteria; Pseudomonadati; Bacteroidota; Bacteroidia; Bacteroidales; Porphyromonadaceae. The record is from RNAcentral.
ACGGAAGGCAGCAGUGAGGAAUAUUGGUCAAUGGGCGAGAGCCUGAACCAGCCAAGUCGCGUGAAGGAUGAAGGUUCUAUGGAUUGUAAACUUCUUUUGUUCGAGGGUAAAGUGAGGGAUGCGUCCCUUAUUGCAAGUAUCGAACGAAUAAGCAUCGGCUAACUCCGUGCCAGCAGCCGCGGUAAUACGGAGGAUGCGAGCGUUAUCCGGAUUUAUUGGGUUUAAAGGGUGCGUAGGCGGGAUGUUAAGUCAGCGGUGAAAGCGGGUAGCUCAACUAUACCAAGCCGUUGAAACUGGCGUUCUUGAGUGUAAACGAGGUAGGCGGAAUGUGACGUGUAGCGGUGAAAUGCUUAGAUAUGUCACAGAACCCCGAUUGCGAAGGCAGCUUACCAGCAUACAACUGACGCUGAGGCACGAAAGUGCGGGGAUCAAACAGGAUUAGAUACCCUGGUA